Molecule: ribosomal RNA, 700 nt
Filed under: uncultured bacterium
Lineage: Bacteria
Description: bacterial SSU rRNA
Rfam family: Bacterial small subunit ribosomal RNA
Source: RNAcentral
GCCCGAGGGUUGUAAAGCACUUUCAAUUGGGAGGAAGGUAGUAUCGCUAAUAUCGGUACUGCUUGACGUUACCUUUAGAAGAAGCACCGGCUAACUCUGUGCCAGCAGCCGCGGUAAUACAGAGGGUGCAAGCGUUAUUCGGAAUUACUGGGCGUAAAGCGCGCGUAGGCGGACUGUUAAGUCGGUUGUGAAAGCCCUGGGCUCAACCUGGGAACUGCAUCCGAUACUGGCAAUCUAGAGUUUAAGAGAGGGAAGGGGAAUUCCUAGUGUAGCAGUGAAAUGCGUAGAUAUUAGGAGGAACAUCAGUGGCGAAGGCGCCUUCCUGGCUUAAAACUGACGCUGAGGUGCGAAAGCGUGGGUAGCGAACGGGAUUAGAUACCCCGGUAGUCCACGCCGUAAACGAUGUCAACUAGUUGUGGGGCAUAUUAAAAUGUUUCGUAACGUAGCUAACGCGAUAAGUUGACCGCCUGGGGAGUACGGUCGCAAGAUUAAAACUCAAAGGAACUGACGGGGGCCCGCACAAGCGGUGGAGCAUGUGGUUUAAUUCGAUGCAACGCGAAGAACCUUACCAUCCCUUGACAUCCUGCGAACUUUCUAGAGAUAGAUUGGUGCCUUCGGGAACGCAGUGACAGGUGCUGCAUGGCUGUCGUCAGCUCGUGUCGUGAGAUGUUGGGUUAAGUCCCGCAACGAGCGCAACCCU